CAGUCAGUAGCUCAGUGGUAGAGUGCAUGCUGUGUAUGACGUCCUGUGUUCGAAUCCCAGCUGCUCGG
Dallia pectoralis (Alaska blackfish) is the source of this 68-nucleotide non-coding RNA. Lineage: Eukaryota; Metazoa; Chordata; Actinopteri; Esociformes; Umbridae. The record is from the annotation of a GenBank genome assembly.